Molecule: long non-coding RNA, 1012 nt
Organism: Hemicordylus capensis (graceful crag lizard)
Lineage: Eukaryota; Metazoa; Chordata; Lepidosauria; Squamata; Cordylidae
Exons: 4
Source: RefSeq, a predicted model, not a curated record
UUAUUGUUGAAGCUCAGUAGCACCUUUGCCAACAGAAGCGUCAAUAAGGACUCCUUCACCUGCCCUGAAUUUUAGAAGGGAACGGCAGAAUGUUAGUAGAACAGUGCAGAGCCGGCUUUGCAGGUCUAGCAGUUUGUUUCGCAGGCUGCUCUUCAAGAUGUCAGCAUUCUGCAUUUCAGCGGAAAACAGGGAUCAGCAUAAUCAGGAACCCCAGCUCUCCAAUGGCCCAGCAUCCUAUUAACAGCAAAGUUUUGGAGAUCAUGCUGGCAUCCACGAACAGAGAACAUGUUCAUCCUUCCAGAUACCAUUGGUAUCAUUUCCAAGCACAUUGAAAAGGAACACUACAGAGCUUCACUCCCAGAAGGGAUUAGAAUGACCACAAAUCUCAUCACUUUCAGAAUGAAAUGUAAAGCCGCUUCGCUUUGACCUUGCUUUCCCACAACAACAAUCAUCGCCGCCGACCUGGGGAUUCGGAGAAGAAACAAACAUCUGAACAGAAGAUCCCUGCUAGAGAAGUCCAUCCAGCCAUCAUCAUUCUCCCCACAGUGGACAACCACCUCUGGAUAUUCUACAAGCAGGGGAUGAGGGCAAAAAUCCUCCCCUGCUAUUGUCUGCUCGAGCAACUGGAAUUCAGAAGCAUACGGCCCCUGAAGGCUCUGCAUAUUUAUCCUGGCUAAUAGCCAUUGAUAGACUCAUCCUCGAUGAAUGUAUCUAAUUCCCUUCUACAGACCAAUAAGUCACCACUAUAGGGCCAUUCACACAAUUAGCAAAAAUUGAGCUAGGAGAGCCUAGCCCGAUUUUUGUUAUACGUGAAAACCACCGGGCUCAGCUACAAGCCCAGUGGUUCCAGAGCGGGUAACCCGCUCGGGAACUCCUGAUUAAAAAAACAGGUUUGCGGAGCGAGCACUCUGCAAACGUGGUUUUUAGAAUCAUUCUUAGCUGCAGUUUGGCUUCGAGUUGUGCCUACUUAUGAGUAGGCCCCCGGCUGGGAGGCUUAAAAGCAGCUUGCGCA